RNAcentral lists this ribosomal RNA (460 nucleotides) under uncultured bacterium. Its description in RNAcentral is "partial 16S ribosomal RNA". It matches the Rfam family "Bacterial small subunit ribosomal RNA", at positions 338 to 795 of the family's 1533-position model. The record is from RNAcentral.
CCUACGGGUGGCUGCAGUGAGGAAUAUUGGUCAAUGGCCGUAAGUCUGAACCAGCCAAGUAGCGUGAGGGAAGACUGCCCUAUGGGUUGUAAACCUCUUUUAUGCGGGGAUAAAGGUGUCCAAGUGUGGAUGUUUGCAGGUACCGCAUGAAUAAGGACCGGCUAAUUCCGUGCCAGCAGCCGCGGUAAUACGGAAGGUCCGGGCGUUAUCCGGAUUGAUUGGGUUUAAAGGGGGCGUAGGCGGGUCUAUAAGCGUGCCGUGAAAUUUUGUGGCUCAACCAUGGGAGUGCGGCGAGAACUGGAGACCUGGAGUGCGCGGAAGGCAGGCGGAAUUCGUGGUGUAGCGGUGAAAUGCUUAGAUAUCACGAAGAACCCCGAUGGCGAAGGCAGCCUGCUGCAGCGUAACUGACGCUGAAGCUCGAAAGCGCGGGUAUCGAACAGGAUUAGAUACCCUUGUAGUC